This 305-nucleotide ribosomal RNA is filed under the name uncultured bacterium. RNAcentral describes it as "bacterial SSU rRNA". It matches the Rfam family "Bacterial small subunit ribosomal RNA", at positions 337 to 658 of the family's 1533-position model. The record is from RNAcentral.
CCCUACGGGGCGCAGCAGUGGGGAAUAUUGCACAAUGGGGGAAACCCUGAUGCAGCGACGCCGCGUGAGUGAAGAAGUAUUUCGGUAUGUAAAGCUCUAUCAGCAGGGAAGAAAAAAGACGGUACCUGACUAAGAAGCCCCGGCUAACUACGUGCCAGCAGCCGCGGUAAUACGUAGGGGGCAAGCGUUAUCCGGAUUUACUGGGUGUAAAGGGAGCGUAGACGGCAGUGCAAGUCUGAAGUGAAAGGCAAGGGCUCAACCUUUGGACUGCUUUGGAAACUGUGCUGCUAGAGGGUCGGAGAGGG